RNAcentral lists this ribosomal RNA (497 nucleotides) under uncultured bacterium. RNAcentral describes it as "partial 16S ribosomal RNA". It matches the Rfam family "Bacterial small subunit ribosomal RNA", at positions 28 to 507 of the family's 1533-position model. The record is from RNAcentral.
GAUGAACGCUGGCGGCGUGCCUAAUACAUGCAAGUCGAGCGAACAGACGAGGAGCUUGCUCCUCUGACGUUAGCGGCGGACGGGUGAGUAACACGUGGAUAACCUACCUAUAAGACUGGGAUAACUUCGGGAAACCGGAGCUAAUACCGGAUAAUAUAUUGAACCGCAUGGUUCAAUAGUGAAAGACGGUUUUGCUGUCACUUAUAGAUGGAUCCGCGCCGCAUUAGCUAGUUGGUAGGGUAACGGCUUACCAAGGCAACGAUGCGUAGCCGACCUGAGAGAGUGAUCGGCCACCCGGGAAGUGAGACACGGUCAAGACUCCUACGGGAGGCAGCAGAAGGGAAUCUGCCGCAAUGGGGGAAAGCAAGGCGGAGCAACGCCGCGCGAGUGAUGAAGGUCUUCGGAUCGUAAAACUCGGUUAUGAGGGAAGAACAAAUGUGUAAGUAACUAUGCACGUCUUGACGGUAACUAAUCAGAAAGCCACGGCUAACUACGUG